CCUACGGGUGACAGCAGUGAGGAAUAUUGGUCAAUGGGCGAGAGCCUGAACCAGCCAAGUCGCGUGAGGGAGUACUGCCCUAUGGGUUGUAAACCUCGUUUGUCGGGGAGCAAAAGCCUGACGUGUCCGGCUGUGAGAGUACCCGAAGAAAAAGCAUCGGCUAACUCCGUGCCAGCAGCCGCGGUAAUACGGAGGAUGCGAGCGUUAUCCGGAUUGAUUGGGUUAAAAGGGUGCGCAGGCGGAUUUUUAAGUCAGCGGUCAAAUCGUGGGGCUCAACCCCAUCCAGCCGUUGAAACUGGGGAGCUAGAGUGUGAGAGAGAUAUGCGGAAUGCGUGGUGUAGCGGUGAAAUGCAUAGAUAUCACGCAGAACCCCGAUUGCGAAGGCAGCAUACCGGUGCACAACUGACGCUCAGGCACGAAAGCGUGGGUAUCGAACAGGAUUAGAUACCCCGGUAGUC
RNAcentral lists this ribosomal RNA (458 nucleotides) under uncultured bacterium. Its description in RNAcentral is "partial 16S ribosomal RNA". It matches the Rfam family "Bacterial small subunit ribosomal RNA", at positions 338 to 795 of the family's 1533-position model. The record is from RNAcentral.